GUAGCGCGAACAUCGCCAACGUGGGACAGACGGAUGCUGCAUCGCGACGCAUUUAAUUGUGAGUAUCACGAAGGAGCGACAGUGGUGAAGUAAGAGAGAAGAAAGCACAUUAGGUGUCGGUGGAACAAUAAUUCUCUCUAUAGAUCUGCGUAUAAUUGAGCAUUUUAACAAUUUGAGUAGAGGAGUAGAUAUCUGAUAGGUAUAUCGGCGGAAUAAUCAAUAAGAUCAAUAUGUAACUGACGAUCUUAUGACAAUCUGAGAGAAGAGA
Non-coding RNA from Nylanderia fulva, 268 nucleotides. The record is from RefSeq and is a predicted model, not a curated record. Lineage: Eukaryota; Metazoa; Arthropoda; Insecta; Hymenoptera; Formicidae.